This 76-nucleotide transfer RNA is filed under the name Bacteroidota bacterium. RNAcentral's name for it is "Bacteroidetes bacterium (bioreactor sludge metagenome) tRNA-Phe". It matches the Rfam family "tRNA". From Rfam's summary of the family: Transfer RNA (tRNA) molecules are approximately 80 nucleotides in length. Their secondary structure includes four short double-helical elements and three loops (D, anti-codon, and T loops). The record is from RNAcentral. Lineage: Bacteria; Pseudomonadati; Bacteroidota.
GGGCAGGUAGCUCAGUCGGUAGAGCAAAGGACUGAAAAUCCUUGUGUCGGGGGUUCAAUUCCCUCCCUGCCCACAA